AUGAAUUUUUCAGGUAAAUGGAUAGAACUAGAAAAGAUCAUGUUGAGUGAGGUAACCCAGACCCCAAAUGAUGAACAUCACAUGUUUCUCACAUCGGAGGCGCCUAGCUCCAAAUCUUCAGAGCAACUGCAGAAACCAGGAAAACAAGAUGGGACCAUUUUCAUGGGCAGUCAGAUUCCCAGAGUGAAGAUGUGAUGGCUGAAGAUGGAUGAAGUCCAGUAAGAAUCAUGACAUUCAUGUUUGGUGGUACCUUACAGUUAUUUGGUAAAUACACUAAUGUACUGGAAAUUCAAUGUAUGUUGGCUCUUCAGAACAAAAAUAAAAUCUGUGUUUUGAAAUUUU
Long non-coding RNA from Peromyscus leucopus (white-footed mouse), 342 nucleotides. RefSeq lists it as uncharacterized. The transcript has 2 exons. The record is from RefSeq and is a predicted model, not a curated record. Lineage: Eukaryota; Metazoa; Chordata; Mammalia; Rodentia; Cricetidae.